This 253-nucleotide ribosomal RNA is filed under the name uncultured bacterium. RNAcentral's name for it is "partial 16S ribosomal RNA". It matches the Rfam family "Bacterial small subunit ribosomal RNA", at positions 524 to 776 of the family's 1533-position model. The record is from RNAcentral.
UACGUAGGGUGCGAGCGUUGUCCGGAAUUAUUGGGCGUAAAGAGCUUGUAAGCGGUCUGUCGCGUCUGCUGUGAAAAUCCGGGGCUCAACCCCGGACUUGCAGUGGGUACGGGCAGACUAGAGUGUGGUAGGGGAGACUGGAAUUCCUGGUGUAGCGGUGAAAUGCGCAGAUAUCAGGAGGAACACCGAUGGCGAAGGCAGGUCUCUGGGCCACUACUGACGCUGAGAAGCGAAAGCAUGGGGAGCGAACAGG